AUUUUGGGGUGAACUCACUAUCCCUUUAAUAAGGAGUAUCAUGAAAUGGGCAACAUACAAAACUAACUAAAUGUGCUGUGUUCUGUUUGUAGGUGUACAUCGCUACAUUUGCUGUGUCCGGCUAUGCUUCCAGUUACUACAGAGCAGGAGGAAAACCCUUUAAUCCAGUGUUGGGUGAGACCUACGAGUGUGAUCGUCCAGACAAAGGCUUUUGUUUUGUGGCGGAGCAGGUCAGCCAUCACCCCCCCAUUUCUGCAUGUCAUGCCGAAUCUAAAAACUUCAUCUUUUGGCAAGACGUGAGGUGGAGGAAUAAGUUUUGGGGAAAGUCCAUGGAGAUUGUACCUGUUGGAACUACACACGUGGUUCUCCCUGGGUAAGAUUUUGUCUGUUUAUUAAAUUCACA
Molecule: long non-coding RNA, 403 nt
Organism: Sinocyclocheilus anshuiensis
Lineage: Eukaryota; Metazoa; Chordata; Actinopteri; Cypriniformes; Cyprinidae
Exons: 3
Source: RefSeq, a predicted model, not a curated record